This 253-nucleotide ribosomal RNA is filed under the name uncultured bacterium. RNAcentral's name for it is "partial 16S ribosomal RNA". It matches the Rfam family "Bacterial small subunit ribosomal RNA", at positions 524 to 776 of the family's 1533-position model. The record is from RNAcentral.
UACGGAGGGUCCAAGCGUUAUCCGGAAUCAUUGGGUUUAAAGGGUCCGCAGGCGGGUUAAUAAGUCAGUGGUGAAAUCUCUCAGCUUAACUGGGAAACUGCCAUUGAUACUGUUAGUCUUGAAUUCGGUCGAAGUAGGCGGAAUGUGUCAUGUAGCGGUGAAAUGCAUAGAUAUGACACAGAACACCGAUAGCGAAGGCAGCUUACUAGGCCUGAAUUGACGCUCAUGGACGAAAGCGUGGGGAGCAAACAGG